Gymnodraco acuticeps is the source of this 343-nucleotide long non-coding RNA. RefSeq lists it as uncharacterized. The transcript is spliced from 3 exons. The record is from RefSeq and is a predicted model, not a curated record. NCBI's taxonomy places the organism in Eukaryota, Metazoa, Chordata, Actinopteri, Perciformes, Bathydraconidae.
UGGGUAUUUAGAUUCCCUUCGGGGACACGAAUCUUUUGAUUCAGUUCACUUUAAAGAUUCGUUCACCGGUUCGCAAACGACUUCUGGUGAUUUGCACGUUCUCGAACGAUUCGUCUUUGUACUUAAUUCGUUCAAUUUGCUGCUGCACUGCGUUCCCACUGCUGAUAACCUCAUCCCAUUACACGGUCGCCGUGGAAACACCACACAUGAUGGUUCCACUAUCAGAUGAUGCUGAUGGUGAUGGCCCUGAGGGAGAGAUGCAGGCAGAGCUCAGUGGACAGAACUGGCCAGAGGCGCGGGAAGGUAUUUUGAGUGGGGGUGCUGAGGUGCCGGACUCCAGUGA